Small nucleolar RNA from Gastrolobium bilobum, 107 nucleotides. Lineage: Eukaryota; Viridiplantae; Streptophyta; Magnoliopsida; Fabales; Fabaceae. The record is from RefSeq and is a predicted model, not a curated record.
AUUCCAUGUUGAGGACACUUUCUGAGUGAUCCUUUGAAUUGUUCCCAAGCCUCGUACAGAGAUUCGCUUUCUUUUUGUUCAAAAGCGGUGAUUUUUGCUUUGAGUCU